AUUGAACGCUGGCGGCAUGCCUAACACAUGCAAGUCGAACGAGUGGCGGACGGGUGAGUAAUGUCUGUGAACCUGCCUUAUGGCUGGGGUUAACUACUGGAAACGGUAGCUAAUACCGCAUACCAUCCGAUUUGCCCAGGUGGGAUUAGCUAGUAGGUGGGGUAAAGGCUCACCUAGGCGACGAUCCCUAGCUGGUCUGAGAGGAUGACCGGCCACACGGGAACUGAGACACGGUCCAGACUCCUACGGGAGGCAGCAGUGGGGAAUAUUGCACAAUGGGCGAAAGCCUGAUGGAGCCAUGCCGCGUGAGUGAAGAAGGCAUUCGGGUUGUAAAGUACUUUCAUGAGGGAAGCGGUACCUAAUAAGAAAGCACCGGCUAACUACGGGCCAGCAGCCGCGGUAAUAC
This 406-nucleotide ribosomal RNA is filed under the name uncultured bacterium. RNAcentral's name for it is "partial 16S ribosomal RNA". It matches the Rfam family "Bacterial small subunit ribosomal RNA", at positions 30 to 526 of the family's 1533-position model. The record is from RNAcentral.